Molecule: long non-coding RNA, 93 nt
Organism: Xiphophorus hellerii (green swordtail)
Lineage: Eukaryota; Metazoa; Chordata; Actinopteri; Cyprinodontiformes; Poeciliidae
Exons: 3
Source: RefSeq, a predicted model, not a curated record
AAAUAUGCAUUUAAACAGACUGAAAUCACCUUAGGAAAAUAACCUUCAAGCAGAUGUGAAACAUACUUUCUAUUAAACCCACAGUUCUGUAUU